This 491-nucleotide ribosomal RNA is filed under the name uncultured bacterium. RNAcentral's name for it is "partial 16S ribosomal RNA". It matches the Rfam family "Bacterial small subunit ribosomal RNA", at positions 29 to 506 of the family's 1533-position model. The record is from RNAcentral.
AGUGAACGCUGGCGGUAGGCCUAACACAUGCAAGUCGAACGGCAGCACAGUAAGAGCUUGCUCUUACGGGUGGCGAGUGGCGGACGGGUGAGGAAUACAUCGGAAUCUACUUUUUCGUGGGGGAUAACGUAGGGAAACUUACGCUAAUACCGCAUACGACCUACGGGUGAAAGCAGGGGAUCUUCGGACCUUGCGCGAUUGAAUGAGCCGAUGUCGGAUUAGCUAGUUGGCGGGGUAAAGGCCCACCAAGGCGACGAUCCGUAGCUGGUCUGAGAGGAUGAUCAGCCACACUGGAACUGAGACACGGUCCAGACUCCUACGGAGGGCAGCGGUGGGGAAUAUUGGACAAUGGGCGCAAGCCUGAUCCAGCCAUACCGCGUGGGUGAAGAAGGCCUUCGGGUGGUAAAGCCCUUUUGUUGGGAAAGAAAAGCAGCAGGUUAAUACCCCGCUGUUCUGACGGUACCCAAAGAAUAAGCACCGGCUAACUUCGU